GAAUUCGGGUAGCCCUUAGCAACCGCCGCGCCGUUGCUAAGGGCGUCCUUUGCUUCCGGCGCAAUGUAAACAAAAUGUCGGCGCGCCACGCCCCCCUCAGCCCCGCCCCACUAGCACGAGGGGGCGCGGCCCCGGUGAUGGUGGGCGUGGUCCCGGUAAUGAAGGCGUGGUGUCCAGCUAAUGAAGGGGCGUGGUCCCGCUCUGCAGGUCGGGCUGCGCUGCCAGGAGGGGACACCGCGCUGCCCCUCGGCCCAGGGCGGGCGGGCACCAGCCGGGGAGGCAGAGAGGAGGAGGAGGAGGAGGAGGAGGAGAUGGGGAGGAGGAGUCAGUGCCGCCGGGCCGGGCAGCGCUCCCGGCUCGGGCAGAGCAGGUGGAGGGGCCGCAGGACAUGGAGGGGCUGAGCCAGCG
RNAcentral lists this long non-coding RNA (408 nucleotides) under Cyanistes caeruleus (blue tit). RNAcentral describes it as "lncRNA (ENSCCEG00000009587.1)". The record is from RNAcentral. Lineage: Eukaryota; Metazoa; Chordata; Aves; Passeriformes; Paridae.